GCAGCUUGCUGCUUCGCUGACGAGUGGCGGACGGGUGAGUAAUGUCUGGGAAACUGCCUGAUGGAGGGGGAUAACUACUGGAAACGGUAGCUAAUACCGCAUAAUGUCGCAAGACCAAAGAGGGGGACCUUCGGGCCUCUUGCCAUCGGAUGUGCCCAGAUGGGAUUAGCUAGUAGGUGGGGUAACGGCUCACCUAGGCGACGAUCCCUAGCUGGUCUGAGAGGAUGACCAGCCACACUGGAACUGAGACACGGUCCAGACUCCUACGGGAGGCAGCAGUGGGGAAUAUUGCACAAUGGGCGCAAGCCUGAUGCAGCCAUGCCGCGUGUAUGAAGAAGGCCUUCGGGUUGUAAAGUACUUUCAGCGGGGAGGAAGGCGGUGAGGUUAAUAACCUCAUCGAUUGACGUUACCCGCAGAAGAAGCACCGGCUAACUCCGUGCCAGCAGCCGCGGUAAUACGGAGGGUGCAAGCGUUAAUCGGAAUUACUGGGCGUAAAGCGCACGCAGGCGGUCUGUCAAGUCGGAUGUGAAAUCCCCGGGCUCAACCUGGGAACUGCAUUCGAAACUGGCAGGCUAGAGUCUUGUAGAGGGGGGUAGAAUUCCAGGUGUAGCGGUGAAAUGCGUAGAGAUCUGGAGGAAUA
This 640-nucleotide ribosomal RNA is filed under the name uncultured Pseudomonadota bacterium. Its description in RNAcentral is "bacterial SSU rRNA". It matches the Rfam family "Bacterial small subunit ribosomal RNA", at positions 75 to 708 of the family's 1533-position model. Lineage: Bacteria; Pseudomonadati; Pseudomonadota. The record is from RNAcentral.